UACGUAGGUGGCGAGCGUUGUCCGGAUUUACUGGGCGUAAGGGGAGCGUAGGCGGACUUUUAAGUGAGAUGUGAAAUACCCGGGCUUAACUUGGGUGCUGCAUUUCAAACUGGAAGUCUAGAGUGCAGGAGAGGAGAAUGGAAUUCCUAGUGUAGCGGUGAAAUGCGUAGAUAUUAGGAGGAACACCGGCGGCGAAGGCGGCUUUCUGGCUGACAACUGACGCUGAGGCGCGAAAGCGUGGGGAGCAAACAGGAUUAGAUACCCUGGUA
RNAcentral lists this ribosomal RNA (269 nucleotides) under uncultured prokaryote. RNAcentral's name for it is "partial 16S ribosomal RNA". It matches the Rfam family "Bacterial small subunit ribosomal RNA", at positions 524 to 792 of the family's 1533-position model. The record is from RNAcentral.